AUGACCAUGUCAAGCGAAGCGGAGCAAGGCCAUGGCGCUGGCGACGACCAAGAUAGCGGCGGCCUGCCUGAGGACCAGUUGUUCGAGAUGCUCACCCGCGUCUCCCUCGACGACCUCUCCGCGUGCCGCCAGGUGUCCGCCCAGUGGCGCCGGCUCACGUACGAGCCGGCGUUCUCGCCGCUGCACUGCCGCCGCCGCGCCGACGCCGUCGUCUCGGGCUACUUCGUCCAGGGCAUGGCGCGCAACCGCUACUCCGCCACUUUCGUCUCCAUGCACCCCUCCCAGUCCUCCCAGGCCAGUCCGCCCGUCUCCCUCGACUUCCUGCCGGCCGCGCACGUCCGCGUUGAGGCCGUGUCCGCGCACCGCGGCCUCGCGUGCUGCGUCGACGCCGAACGCAUGGGUGGCAAGGCGUCGUCGGCGCGAUGCUACUACGUGUGCAAGCCCGCCACGAGGCAGUGGCGGGCGCUGCCCAACCCGAGGCUGCGCUUCCCCACGGCGGCCACCGCGAUGGUUGCACGCCCCGCCAGCGCCGGCGCCGGCGCGGACUUCCAGAUCCUCCGGCUCUCGGUCCCUACGCUGCGUGACCACCUGCGCUGCGAGAUCUUCGACUCGUGGAGGUGGGCGUGGCGGCGCUCGGCCGACGUGAUGGUGUGGCCGGAGUCGCUCGUGGCCGCCAGCCCGCCGGUGAGGGCCCACGGCGCCAUGCAUUGGCUCCGGUGUCCGGACAGGGCCAGCGCCGCCGAGGACAUCUUCGCGAUCCACAUGAAGAGCGAGGCGUGGAGGCUCGUUGCUCUCCCGCCGGAGGUGGAGGACAGAGCGGACAGGUGGGCGCGCAAGAAGCUGGUGACGGUGGAGGGGAAGCUGUGCCUGGCGGUGAUCGUGGAGGACGAGGGGGCGGCGGAGGUGUGGGUGAUAGCCGACUACGGCAGGCAGCAGGAGAGAUGGGAGAAGAAGAUGGCGGUGAAGUUGAAGAGUCUAGGGAUGCAGGAAGGGAGAAGGCUUACACUCGGUGAUCUCUGCUCCUCCGAGAUCGCAUUCUUCAACAGUGCAUACAGAGUGAUCUGGUACGAUUUUUGGAGGGGCAAGAUAGCAGAAGUCACCGUUCAUCACAAAUACAUACAAGAAGUUUUCAAGUAUGAGUCAGAUUUGGUCCCUUGGGACAUCCAUGCACAUAAAAUCUAG
RNAcentral lists this ribosomal RNA (1182 nucleotides) under Triticum aestivum (bread wheat). RNAcentral describes it as "partial small subunit ribosomal RNA". The record is from RNAcentral. Lineage: Eukaryota; Viridiplantae; Streptophyta; Magnoliopsida; Poales; Poaceae.